GACCAGACUCCUACGGGAGGCAGCAGUGGGGAAUAUUGCACAAUGGGGGAAACCCUGAUGCAGCGACGCCGCGUGAGUGAAGAAGUAUUUCGGUAUGUAAAGCUCUAUCAGCAGGGAAGAAAAUGACGGUACCUGACUAAGAAGCCCCGGCUAACUACGUGCCAGCAGCCGCGGUAAUACGUAGGGGGCAAGCGUUAUCCGGAUUUACUGGGUGUAAAGGGAGCGUAGACGGCAUGGCAAGUCAGAUGUGAAAGCCCGGGGCUCAACCCCGGGACUGCAUUUGAAACUGUCAGGCUGGAGUGCAGGAGAGGUAAGUGGAAUUCCUAGUGUAGCGGCGAAAUGCGUAGAUAUUAGGAGGAACACCAGUGGCGAAGGCGGCUUACUGGACUGUAACUGACGUUGAGGCUCGAAAGCGUGGGGAGCAAACAGGAUUAGAUACCCGGGUAAA
This 448-nucleotide ribosomal RNA is filed under the name uncultured bacterium. RNAcentral describes it as "bacterial SSU rRNA". It matches the Rfam family "Bacterial small subunit ribosomal RNA", at positions 329 to 794 of the family's 1533-position model. The record is from RNAcentral.